Molecule: ribosomal RNA, 444 nt
Filed under: uncultured Gammaproteobacteria bacterium
Lineage: Bacteria; Pseudomonadati; Pseudomonadota; Gammaproteobacteria
Description: bacterial SSU rRNA
Rfam family: Bacterial small subunit ribosomal RNA
Source: RNAcentral
CGCACGAGCGCACCCUUGCCCUAUGUUGCCAGCGGGUUAUGCCGGGGACUCAUGGGGAACUGCCGGUGAUAAACCGGAGGAAGGUGGGGACGACGUCAAGUCAUCAUGGCCCUUACGCCCAGGGCUACACACGAGCUACAAUGGCCGGUACAAAGGGCUGCAAUCCCGCGAGGGGGAGCGAAUCCCAAAAAGCCGGUCUAAGUUCGGAUUGUAGUCUGCAACUCGACUGCAUGAAGUCGGAAUCGCUAGUAAUCGUGUAUCAGCAACGACACGGUGAAUACGUUCCCGGGCCUUGUACGCACCGCCCGUCAAGCCAUGGAAGCCGGGAGUGCCCGAAGUCCGUGAUCCAACUUCGUGAGGAAGCGGCCGAAGGUAAGUUCGGUGACUGGGGCUAAGUCGUAACAAGGUAGCCGUAGGGGAACCUGCGGCUGGAUCACCUCCUUU